Pelobates cultripes (western spadefoot toad) is the source of this 531-nucleotide non-coding RNA. The record is from the annotation of a GenBank genome assembly. NCBI's taxonomy places the organism in Eukaryota, Metazoa, Chordata, Amphibia, Anura, Pelobatidae.
CAGGCAACAUACCUGCUGUAUUAGUCACGGUGCCUAGAUUAUCCCUUUAACAGCUAAUUAAUAUUGUCUACUGUAUUCACAAGCUGAGAUGUACGUUUGUUUCUAAUUCCAAGAAAGUAAUGUGAGCAGGGGCAUAUUGCCAUUGCACAGGUUUCGAAACGACUGUUUUGGUUUUAUUUUUUUUCUUGUUAUAAGCUACAGCAAAUCUUUAAUAUUUCUGUUGAAUAACAGUUUAAAACAAUUUCAAAUGGAUGUUAAAAUAAGAAAUUGAGAGGUUAGAAUUGUGUAAACCCUGUCAAGUUCCUAAUUCUAACUGAACUUCGGAAGUUUAAGUAAAGUGCAUAUGCCCUUAGUAUCUUAUCCUUUAAAGUAACUCUACCAGUCUCUGUAGUGGCUGUGGUGGCAGGAGUGCUCUGGGUGCAGUCUGGUUCUGCUGGAGAAGACUGGCCCUAGUGUAGAUGACACAGCAGGACCCCGGUAAAUUGUGCUAAAAUGAUUUGACAUCUUAUGAGAGAUGGCACUAUUAGUUAA